UAGGUAAUCUUCCGCAAUGGACGCAAGUCUGACGGAGCAACGCCGCGUGAGUGAAGAAGGAUUUCGGUUCGUAAAACUCUGUUGUUAGAGAAGAACAGCGCAUAGAGUAACUGUUAUGCGUGUGACGGUAUCUAACCAGAAAGCCACGGCUAACUACGUGCCAGCAGCCGCGGUAAUACGUAGGUGGCAAGCGUUGUCCGGAUUUAUUGGGCGUAAAGCGAGCGCAGGCGGUCAAUUAAGUCUGAUGUGAAAGCCCCCGGCUCAACCGGGGAGGGUCAUUGGAAACUGGUUGACUUGAGUGCAGAAGAGGAGAGUGGAAUUCCAUGUGUAGCGGUGAAAUGCGUAGAUAUAUGGAGGAACACCAGUGGCGAAGGCGACUCUCUGGUCUGUAACUGACGCUGAGGCUCGAAAGCGUGGGUAGCAAACAGG
Molecule: ribosomal RNA, 429 nt
Filed under: Bacteroidota bacterium
Lineage: Bacteria; Pseudomonadati; Bacteroidota
Description: Bacteroidetes bacterium partial 16S ribosomal RNA
Rfam family: Bacterial small subunit ribosomal RNA
Source: RNAcentral